GACGAACGCUGGCGGCGUGCUUAACACAUGCAAGUCGAACGGAAAGGCCCUGCUUUUGUGGGGUGCACGAGUGGCGAACGGGUGAGUAACACGUGAGUAACCUGCCCUUGACUUUGGGAUAACUUCAGGAAACUGGGGCUAAUACCGGAUAGGAGCUCCUGCUGCAUGGUGGGGGUUGGAAAGUUUCGGCGGUUGGGGAUGGACUCGCGGCUUAUCAGCUUGUUGGUGGGGUAGUGGCUUACCAAGGCUUUGACGGGUAGCCGGCCUGAGAGGGUGACCGGCCACAUUGGGACUGAGAUACGGCCCAGACUCCUACGGGAGGCAGCAGUGGGGAAUAUUGCACAAUGGGCGGAAGCCUGAUGCAGCAACGCCGCGUGCGGGAUGACGGCCUUCGGGUUGUAAACCGCUUUCGCCUGUGACGAAGCGUGAGUGACGGUAAUGGGUGAAGAAGCACCGGCUAACUACGUG
RNAcentral lists this ribosomal RNA (468 nucleotides) under uncultured bacterium. RNAcentral describes it as "partial 16S ribosomal RNA". It matches the Rfam family "Bacterial small subunit ribosomal RNA", at positions 28 to 507 of the family's 1533-position model. The record is from RNAcentral.